RNAcentral lists this ribosomal RNA (258 nucleotides) under Salmonella enterica subsp. enterica serovar Infantis. RNAcentral's name for it is "partial 16S ribosomal RNA". It matches the Rfam family "Bacterial small subunit ribosomal RNA", at positions 997 to 1255 of the family's 1533-position model. Lineage: Bacteria; Pseudomonadati; Pseudomonadota; Gammaproteobacteria; Enterobacterales; Enterobacteriaceae. RNAcentral also lists the same sequence under 8 other names. The record is from RNAcentral.
UUUUCAGAGAUGAGAAUGUGCCUUCGGGAACCGUGAGACAGGUGCUGCAUGGCUGUCGUCAGCUCGUGUUGUGAAAUGUUGGGUUAAGUCCCGCAACGAGCGCAACCCUUAUCCUUUGUUGCCAGCGGUUAGGCCGGGAACUCAAAGGAGACUGCCAGUGAUAAACUGGAGGAAGGUGGGGAUGACGUCAAGUCAUCAUGGCCCUUACGACCAGGGCUACACACGUGCUACAAUGGCGCAUACAAAGAGAAGCGACCU